UACGGAAGGCAGCAGUGGGGAAUAUUGCACAAUGGGCGAAAGCCUGAUGCAGCUAUGCCGCGUGUAUGAAGAAGGCCUUAGGGGUUGUAAAGUACUUUCAUCGGGGAGGAAAAACAAAACUAAUAAUUUUAUUUCUUGACGUUACCCGAAAAAGAAGCACCGGCUAACUCCGUGCCAGCAGCCGCGGUAAUACGGAGGGUGCUAGCGUUAAUCAGAAUUACUGGGCGUAAAGAGCACGUAGGUGGUUUUUUUAAGUUCAGAUGUGAAAUCCCUGGGCUUAACCUAGGAACUGCAUUUUGAAACUGAAAUACUAGAGUAUCGUAGAGGGAGGUAGAAUUCUAGGUGUAGCGGUGAAAUGCGUAGAUAUCUGGAGGAAUACCUGUGGCGAAAGCGGCCUCCUAAACGAAUACUGACACUGAGGUGCGAAAGCGUGGGGAGCAAACAGGGAUUAGAUACC
RNAcentral lists this ribosomal RNA (457 nucleotides) under uncultured bacterium. RNAcentral describes it as "bacterial SSU rRNA". It matches the Rfam family "Bacterial small subunit ribosomal RNA", at positions 340 to 786 of the family's 1533-position model. The record is from RNAcentral.